Molecule: ribosomal RNA, 254 nt
Filed under: uncultured bacterium
Lineage: Bacteria
Description: partial 16S ribosomal RNA
Rfam family: Bacterial small subunit ribosomal RNA
Source: RNAcentral
GACGGAGGGGGCUAGCGUUGUUCGGAAUCACUGGGCGUAAAGGGCGCGUAGGCGGCCUUGCAAGUCGGUUGGUGAAAGCCCGGGGCUCAACCCCGGAGGUGCGGCCGAGACUGCAGGGCUGGAGGCCGGAAGAGGAGGGUGGAAUACCCAGUGUAGAGGUGAAAUUCGUAGAUAUUGGGUGGAACACCGGUGGCGAAGGCGACUUCCUGGCCUGUUCUUGACGCUGAGGCGCGAAAGCUAGGGGAGCAAACGGG